UACGUAGGUGACAAGCGUUGUCCGGAUUGACUGGGCGUAAAGCGCACGCAGGCGGUUGCGCGCGUGGGGGGUGAAAUCUGGCCGCUUAACGGCCAGGCGCCAUCCCAUACGGCGCGACUGGAGUGAUGCAGAGGUCGAUGGAAUUGCCGGUGUAGUGGUGAAAUGCGUAGAGAUCGGCAGGAACACCCAGGGGGAAACCAGUCGACUGGGCAUCUACUGACGCUGAGGUGCGAGAGCGUGGGGAGCGAACCGG
This 253-nucleotide ribosomal RNA is filed under the name uncultured bacterium. RNAcentral's name for it is "partial 16S ribosomal RNA". It matches the Rfam family "Bacterial small subunit ribosomal RNA", at positions 524 to 776 of the family's 1533-position model. The record is from RNAcentral.